AUGAUCUUCAUCGAGCUCCCACUUGAGCUCUAUUGCAUCAUCUGCACUGGUAUCACCAACACCGGCAACUGUUUGGAAGUAUCUGUGAGUCAGGAGGACUCAGCAAUCUCACACCCGCGAGAUCAAGACUAUUUAAGCUUAUGGGUAGGAAAGGGUAGUGAGGUGGAGCUGCAACAAGCACUAGCAUAUAUGGUGGCUACCUUAUGCAAAAGAGAGCGAGAAGAGAAGCAAAGCACGGUCGAGAAGCUAAUAAGUGAUCAAGAAGUGAUCCUGAAGCUACUCACGUUCAAGCAUAACACGAGACCGUGUUCACUUCCCGGACUCCGCCGGAAAGAGACCAUCACGGCUACACACGCGGUUGAUGCAUUUUAA
RNAcentral lists this ribosomal RNA (372 nucleotides) under Triticum aestivum (bread wheat). RNAcentral describes it as "partial small subunit ribosomal RNA". The record is from RNAcentral. Lineage: Eukaryota; Viridiplantae; Streptophyta; Magnoliopsida; Poales; Poaceae.